AGUUUCUGUUUUGAGGUGCUUUUGUUUUGCAGUCUAGUAUUGUGUAAUCGGUUUAUUGCACCGUUAAUAGAUGAUUUUGAAGCGUUGGGAGAUGUGAAAGCGCACGACUCUCUGUAAUGUAUUUACUUUAGUAUAUAUAUAUAUACACUAGGGCUGAAACAAUUACUCGACAUUAUCGACAACGUCGACGAUAAAAAUAAAAUUGUCAGCAAAUGUUUUUGAGUAACGUUAGUGGUUUGAUCUCGUAUCUGCCUGAUUUGAAAGCCUGCAUUAAUGCAGUUUGACCAGUGUGGCGCUGUAGCGCAAGAUUGUAAUACACUCUCCUGAUUCAAUUAAAAAGAAGAAGAUAGCACUUCAGUUUGAGGCAAACCGACCCGAUCCGAACCUUGGAUGAAUAUGUUUGUGCAGAAUUUGAGACAUCCAGAAUUACCAUAGGCCCAUUAGAAUCAACAAUCUUUGCCAAACUUGAUUCGGACUGCAAAAUUUACGAAGAUGUUUUCAUACUGAAGAAGAGACCUUGGACAAAUACUGAAACCCUCUUGGUGCCCACUACACAGGCAGGGGUGUCCAGACCUGCUCUAGGAAAGCCAGUGUUCUGUGGGGUUCAGCUCUAACACACCUGCCUGGAACUUCAGACUAAUGAAAUUGAAGUAUCCAAAUGAAGACCCUAGCAGUAUGGAGUAUAUGGAUACAGACGUUGCCAGCAGUCAGGAGGUGAUCCAGAAGACUCAUGGGAAUCUAUUUGAAGCUGCAUCAUUGAAGACAGUCCAGCAGAAGUUGGAGUUUUAAAGGAUAAAGUUCUUCAGGACCUAUAGCAGUUUACAGUCUGUAAAACCAUGUUACUGGGACUGAUUUAUGGACUGAACUUGAGCAACCCUCCUGAACUCAGGUACACAUUUGGAAUACUGAAGAAGUUAUUUCUGGAGCCACUUCCUGUUCCUGGAAUAAGGUUUGAUUGGUUGCCCAUGAAUGCCAAUUAGAAUUGUAUUUGCUAUUUUGUGUAAUUUUGUAAUGUGGUUUAAACUGUAUUUUACUGUGUGUAAUUAUUUAUUGCUUGUUUAACAAAUACACUUUGAUCAUUUGUGA
Molecule: long non-coding RNA, 1086 nt
Organism: Carassius gibelio (silver crucian carp)
Lineage: Eukaryota; Metazoa; Chordata; Actinopteri; Cypriniformes; Cyprinidae
Exons: 5
Source: RefSeq, a predicted model, not a curated record